ACGGGAGGCAGCAGUGGGGAAUAUUGCACAAUGGGCGAAAGCCUGAUGCAGCGACGCCGCGUGAGUGAUGAAGUAUUUCGGUAUGUAAAGCUCUAUCAGCAGGGAAGAAAAAUGACGGUACCUGACUAAGAAGCACCGGCUAAAUACGUGCCAGCAGCCGCGGUAAUACGUAUGGUGCAAGCGUUAUCCGGAUUUACUGGGUGUAAAGGGAGCGCAGGCGGUCGUACAAGUCUGAUGUGAAAACCCAGGGCUCAACCCUGGGAUUGCAUUGGAAACUGUAUGACUAGAGUGUCGGAGGGGUAAGUGGAAUUCCUAGUGUAGCGGUGAAAUGCGUAGAUAUUAGGAGGAACACCAGUGGCGAAGGCGGCUUACUGGACGAUAACUGACGCUGAGGCUCGAAAGCGUGGGGAGCAAACAGGAUUAGAUACCCUGGUA
RNAcentral lists this ribosomal RNA (435 nucleotides) under uncultured Lachnospiraceae bacterium. Its description in RNAcentral is "partial 16S ribosomal RNA". It matches the Rfam family "Bacterial small subunit ribosomal RNA", at positions 341 to 792 of the family's 1533-position model. The record is from RNAcentral. Lineage: Bacteria; Bacillati; Bacillota; Clostridia; Lachnospirales; Lachnospiraceae.